Molecule: non-coding RNA, 74 nt
Filed under: Escherichia coli W
Lineage: Bacteria; Pseudomonadati; Pseudomonadota; Gammaproteobacteria; Enterobacterales; Enterobacteriaceae
Source: RNAcentral
UCCGGGAACUUGUCGACUGAUAAGCCUGGAAACGUAACUAAGGGCAGGGAGUUACCGCUUCCUGCCCUUUAACA